GACGAACGCUGGCGGCGUGCUUAACACAUGCAAGUCGAACGGAAAGGCCCUGCUUUUGUGGGGUGCUCGAGUGGCGAACGGGUGAGUAACACGUGAGUAACCUGCCCUUGACUUUGGGAUAACUUCAGGAAACUGGGGCUAAUACCGGAUAGGAGCUCCUGCUGCAUGGUGGGGGUUGGAAAGUUUCGGCGGUUGGGGAUGGACUCGCGGCUUAUCAGCUUGUUGGUGGGGUAGUGGCUUACCAAGGCUUUGACGGGUAGCCGGCCUGAGAGGGUGACCGGCCACAUUGGAACUGAGAUACGGCCCAGACUCCUACGGGAGGCAGCAGUGGGGAAUAUUGCACAAUGGGCGGAAGCCUGAGGCAGCAACGCCGCGUGCGGGAUGACGGCCUUCGGGUUGUAAACCGCUUUCGCCUGUGACGAAGCGUGAGUGACGGUAAUGGGUAAAGAAGCACCGGCUAACUACGUG
RNAcentral lists this ribosomal RNA (468 nucleotides) under uncultured bacterium. RNAcentral's name for it is "partial 16S ribosomal RNA". It matches the Rfam family "Bacterial small subunit ribosomal RNA", at positions 28 to 507 of the family's 1533-position model. The record is from RNAcentral.